UAACCACUCAAGCUCUCGCUUGGUAUUGGGGUUCGCGGUUUCGCGGCCCCUAAAAUCAGUGGCGGUGCCUGUCGGCUCUACGCGUAGUAAUACUCCUCGCGAUUGAGUCCGGUAGGUCUACUUGCCAGCAACCCCUAAUUUUUUAAU
This 147-nucleotide unclassified non-coding RNA is filed under the name uncultured Protoventuria. RNAcentral's name for it is "partial internal transcribed spacer 2". Lineage: Eukaryota; Fungi; Ascomycota; Dothideomycetes; Venturiales; Venturiaceae. The record is from RNAcentral.